CGAAUGGCUCAUUAAAUCAGUUAU
Molecule: non-coding RNA, 24 nt
Filed under: Arabidopsis thaliana (thale cress)
Lineage: Eukaryota; Viridiplantae; Streptophyta; Magnoliopsida; Brassicales; Brassicaceae
Also listed under: 3 other names
Source: RNAcentral